CUCCUACAAUAAUCUAUCAAUUUUUGUUUAAAGGUCUAUAUGGAGAUUUGAGUCUCAUGCUUUAAACAGAGAAAGAAUUUCAGAGGAGCACACAUCUGAACU
Non-coding RNA from Vicugna pacos (alpaca), 102 nucleotides. NCBI's taxonomy places the organism in Eukaryota, Metazoa, Chordata, Mammalia, Artiodactyla, Camelidae. The record is from RefSeq and is a predicted model, not a curated record.